GUAGGGAAUAUUGGGCAAUGGAUGCAAGUCUGACCCAGCCAUGCCGCGUGGAGGAAGAAGGUCCUCUGGAUUGUAAACUCCUUUUUUGGGGGAAGAAUAGUUCUCUUGCGAGGGAAUGUGACGGUACCCUAAGAAUAAGCCACGGCUAACUACGUGCCAGCAGCCGCGGUAAUACGUAGGUGGCAAGCGUUGUCCGGAUUUAUUGGGUUUAAAGGGUGCGUAGGUGGUAUGAUAAGUCAGUGGUGAAAGCUGGUUGCUCAACAAUCAAGUUGCCAUUGAUACUGUCGGACUUGAGAGAAGUGGAGGUUCAUGGAAUGGAUGGUGUAGCGGUGAAAUGCAUAGAUAUCAUCCAGAACGUCGAUUGCGAAGGCAGUGGGCUGUACUUUAUCUGACACUGAGGCACGAAAGUGUGGGGAUCAAACAGGAUUAGAAACCCGGGUAGUCC
Molecule: ribosomal RNA, 445 nt
Filed under: uncultured bacterium
Lineage: Bacteria
Description: bacterial SSU rRNA
Rfam family: Bacterial small subunit ribosomal RNA
Source: RNAcentral